GAUGAACGCUGGCGGCGUGCCUAAUACAUGCAAGUCGAACGCUUUGUCUUUAAUCGAUCUGACGAGCUUGCUCUGAUGUGAUUUUAUCUGACAAAGAGUGGCGAACGGGUGAGUAACACGUGGGUAACCUACCUCUUAGCAGGGGAUAACAUUUGGAAACAAGUGCUAAUACCGUAUAAUAUUAACAACCGCAUGGUUGUUAAUUGAAAGAUGGUUCUGCUAUCACUAAGAGAUGGACCCGCGGUGCAUUAGCUAGUUGGUAAGGUAAUGGCUUACCAAGGCGAUGAUGCGUAGCCGAGUUGAGAGACUGAUCGGCCACAAUGGGACUGAGACACGGCCCAUACUCCUACGGGAGGCAGCAGUAGGGAAUCUUCCACAAUGGGCGCAAGCCUGAUGGAGCAACGCCGCGUGUGUGAUGAAGGGUUUCGGCUCGUAAAACACUGUUAUAAGAGAAGAACGACAUUGAGAGUAACUGUUCAGUGUGUGACGGUAUCUUAUCAGAAAGGAACGGCUAAAUACGUG
This 522-nucleotide ribosomal RNA is filed under the name uncultured Weissella sp. RNAcentral describes it as "bacterial SSU rRNA". It matches the Rfam family "Bacterial small subunit ribosomal RNA", at positions 28 to 507 of the family's 1533-position model. The record is from RNAcentral. Lineage: Bacteria; Bacillati; Bacillota; Bacilli; Lactobacillales; Lactobacillaceae.